Non-coding RNA from Apodemus sylvaticus (European woodmouse), 531 nucleotides. The record is from the annotation of a RefSeq genome assembly. Lineage: Eukaryota; Metazoa; Chordata; Mammalia; Rodentia; Muridae.
GCAUGUGUCAGGCACUCAGACACUGAUCUCUGAGUUGAGGCAGAGCAGACACACUCAUGCAGAAGACGGUGUGCCACAUGCCUCCUCACAGCCUGCUCUGUGUGCUGGUGGCCUUGGCUUUCCCUGGAUGCAAUGUGGCCCAAACAGUGACUCAGGUCCAGUCAACAGCAAGCAGGAAGGAGGGAGAAGAAGUCACCCUGGACUGUUCAUAUGAGACAAAUAAUUUUGUAUACCAUCUUUUUUGGUAUAGGAAGCUUCUUAGUGAAGAGAUGGUUUUCCUUAUUCACCAACCUUCUGCUGAUACUCAAAACAAGAGGAGCGACCGCUAUUCUGUAGUCUUCCAGAAAUCAUUCAAGACCAUCAGUCUUGUCAUUUCAGCCUUACAACCAGAUGAUUCAGGGAAGUAUUUCUGUGCUCUCUGGGAGCUGGCACAGUGUUUGAAGUGACAGCACAAGCUGAACAAAAAACAGAGCUUCCCAUGAGGGAGGGAGCUGAACUGAAAAGUACACCUGCACAUCCUGAACAAGAAGG